UCAGACAGGCAGAGGCUGCCACGGUGGACUGUAACAACUGCUGGAAAUUCUGAAAAUGUUUUGCUCAGAGCAGAGUUGGCAGAUGUCAUGACAAAGGUGAAAACACGGUCUCUAGGAUGCCCCCUGCCAAGGGAGGGGGGAAGGGAGGAGUCAUUUAAACCUAACUGUAAAGAUUCAAGGGAGGCUAUUCCUUUCCUCUUGGCUCAUCACCACCUUUACUACGCGAUGCCUGGAAUCUCUGCAGCCAGCAGGCGACAUAUGAAGGGAGCUGAAAAGCAGGAGCCGGAGCAGAGAGACAGAAGGCAUCAAGGUCUUUGAAGAGGUCAGCGAGAGGCUGGCCACCCCAGCUGCGAGCCAACCACUCCCGUGAAUGAUCGUGAUGUCGGAAAAUACGCCCCUCAGCGCACCGGGCAUCACGCCCGACUUCCAAAUGCUUGUGUGGGAGAUGGCAGGAUUUGAAGAACCCAGAGGAAAACAGGAUUCUUGUCACAGAGAGAGAGAGAGAAUGAGGCAGAGACACAGGCAGAGGGAGAAGCAGGCUCCAUGCACCGGGAGCCCGACGUGGGAUUCGAUCCCGGGUCUCCAGGAUCGCGCCCUAGGCCAAAGGCAGGCGCCAAACCGCUGCGCCACCCAGGGAUCCCCAAUGAUUGAUAAUUUCAAUGGGCAAAUAGCUGCCAGAUAUGAAGAAAAGAUUCUUUCCAAAUAUAUUAUAUACACACACACAUAUAUAUAGUAGCUAAUCCACAAUUUUUGAAAAUUUUAUCAUUAUGUAGUUAAGAAGCAGUAAUUCAUUAUUUACAUUUCACCAUAAGAUUCUACAUAUUUAAGAAAUUCUAUAACUAGGUGAGGGAUGAGUGUGUCACAGGAAACCAAAGGUUGUAUGCUUCUCAUUGACACAUCCAGCUCUAUUCAAAGGGAAUUCAAAGAUAAUUUUCCUCUGUUUAGUCUCUGUAGAGUAUUUUAAAAUAUUUUAAAAUUCAUGGGAAUAAUCAACACUCAGAAGAAUUACAUCUUUGGCAAUGAAAAACACAUUGAGGGGUUUUAGAGCCUUUGCAAACUGCCACUCAAGCUUAUUAUUUAUGAACUCUUUGCUCUUUAAAAUUGAGAACAAAGCAAUUAACUACAAUUUCACACCUUCAGGAAGAUGAGGAACACAGUCUGCUAUCUAUUGUAAAUUCCAAAGUGUAUUCUUUCACUUAAAUUUAUAGUUCCAUUGAGUGGAAAUUUUCUUCUUAUUCAAAAUAAAGUAAGUGAAUCUUUUUUUUUCACUGAAAAUGGACAAUGCAUACCAAUUUUGUUCUUAAGAAAGUAAGUUUAAUAGACCCCAUUGUCCAGAUCAUCGCAAGGCCAAUAUUUUCGAACAUGAAGCACAGAGGUAGACCAUAAUCAGGGAGGCAACGUGCUGGCUGGCUUGCUCACUGAAUGCGGUGAUCAGAACUUCACAAACACAUGCCUUGGCAACAACAGUGUGUUCAGGUUACCGAGCAUGGCACUUGCUGGGGGUCAGGUCCUCGAUCCCCACGGUGCCUGUGCUAUGCUCCUACUACCACAAACCACCCAAGGUCUUGAAGCAGGGAGAUCAGGGAGGGUCCCCCAGGUGGGAAGGCAUGGAUUGGAGCCCGGGCCGUCGGACCAGCAUGCGAGCACCCCUCUCUGUUCACGGCUCUCUGCCCAAACAGGAGUCCCCAGCAGGCGCAGGGAGAGGCUACACAGCAUGGAUGACGUCUGUACCAAAACACCCCAACUCAACACAGGUGCCACCAAAAGAAAGUAACGGGAUGUUCCUUUGGAGAAUAAAAAUAACAGAACGACUCACUUGUUUUUCAUAUUUUAGAGCUGCUCAAAGAAGGAAUUAGAAUUGAACCAAUAUCCCUUAUGCCUUAGACCUGAACAUUAUCCUCUCAUUCUUCCUCUUCCUACUGCCUGGGGCAGGCCCCUCAACUAUUACACUAGACUCCAACAUCAUCCUCCCAACCUCAAUCUCCUGCUCCAUUCAAUUUUUCAGAGGGACCCUGCUCACGACCAGUCUGCUGCUCAAGGAAACUUCCGAUGGCUGCUCCUGACCAUAGGAUAAAAUGUAUACAACCCAGAUGUCUUGGUUUCGGGUCCCAACUGGGCUCUCAACACUCUCCUUCCUUCUCUCAUCAAGAAGUAACCACCAAUCUAACUAUUUCUGUGCAAUUCCUGUCCCCCACCCCCACCUCAGCACUGGUCUGCAAGUACUUAUCAAGAUCAUGCUACGUUUAGUGGUCUCUGCCUUGGAGAAGACACCCUGAUAAAUGCCAACCAUAAAUUCUUCCUCAAGUCACAGGUACUUAGUGCUCACAAGGACCAUGCAUGUACCUAGCUAAAAUGAAACAACCUGGAAGAAUGAGGGCAACUUUGGAGACUUUAUCUAAUCAGUUGGGAACUGUGUUUUUAGCUCAACUAUUUUAGUCAUCUUAACAACUCAAGCAAAUGAGCAUGUCUGGGGUGGAAAUGGGGCUCAGUUCAGCCUGGGGGAGAUUAGGGUCAAGGUGUUGAUUUUCAAGGAGAGAAAUGUUCGGUGAAUUUUCCCCAUAUUCUGACUUAAUUUCUGUGUUUAUUUUGAAAUUUGCCCCAACUACACUUUCUCACUUUCCCACAGUCACACACUUUUCCCUGCUUUACAAGAAUUGUUUCCCAUCCUCUACCUAUUCAAACUCUGGAAUAAUAUCACUAUUCUGAUCUACAAAGCUGUGCAUGGAGCCCAGCUGGGCCUACAUGGCAGCUCCUCACUGUGAGUUCCCACAGCUCCAGGCCCUCAGGCCACACUUCCGUCAAUAUAGAGCAUUUGGGAAGCAGAAUGUUUCUUCCAUAAUCUGGUCACGUUCAAUAUACCUGCAGUCUUAUCAGAGCCUCAAUUAGGACCCUCAAAAUGUGUUGUUCAACAAAUAUGUUUCAUUCAAAAUUCUGUGUCAUGUUAUUUUUUCUAUAUAUAUUUUCUUUUUAAAAAUGUACCUUGCAUUUGCUUUCUUUUUAUAUUUAAAAAAAUUUUUUCCAGCUGCCUUUCCAAUGUCAAGUGCUUCAAGCAUUUAAUCUGUUAAGCCUCCAUUCCCUCCCAUGUAGAUCGGAGAUAAGAGUAUUAUCUAAAAUAUAAGGUUAUUAGGGGAACGGACUGAAAUAAUGCAUGAACAAAGUUAGCACCUGUCAGUAGCAACUGAAUAAUUGGUGAGAAGCGGAAAGACAAGCCAGACUCUAGGCUGAGAAUAAAAAAAGGAAAUCUAUUACUGCCCUGAAGGAUACUGCUCGGUUAUAGGUCAGAAAAAUAUAUAGAUGGAAAAUAAGAAAACAUGGAAAAUAGUACUAGAGAGACUUAGUGCAGAUGAGAAAAGUCUUUCCAUUCAAGAUAAGUGUAUGUUGGACGUUUCACAAAGGCAGAGCAUGUGGAUUCUAGCAUCUGAGGUGGUUUCCUGUUUACCUUUGCCAUGGCAAGUCUGUGCAUGACAUGGUAGGGGACAGGAAAAAGGUGAGGGUCGCAUACUGGCCAUCACAGUGACUUGAUUCUGUGAAGUGCGGCCAUUCUGUGUACACCCGCACGUGGAGACAGCAGCUAAGGGAGGAGGAAACUGAUCUACGGACGCCGGUCAGCCCUUCCCACAGCACAGGAGCCAGCUGGCUCUACCAGGUUGAAAUGGAUCCCACUCACUCCACACAGGGGUGACUUAUUACCGGGCACGGAGCACAUCU
Molecule: long non-coding RNA, 3708 nt
Organism: Canis lupus familiaris (dog)
Lineage: Eukaryota; Metazoa; Chordata; Mammalia; Carnivora; Canidae
Exons: 3
Source: RefSeq, a predicted model, not a curated record